RNAcentral lists this small RNA (68 nucleotides) under Mycobacterium sp. Root135. RNAcentral describes it as "ASdes TB sRNA". It matches the Rfam family "ASdes TB sRNA". The record is from Rfam by way of RNAcentral. Lineage: Bacteria; Bacillati; Actinomycetota; Actinomycetes; Mycobacteriales; Mycobacteriaceae.
AGCUCCAUCGGGUCGACGGCCCUGGUGACCACCAGGUAGUCGCGAAGGGCGAUCCCGUGCCGGUUCUC